RNAcentral lists this transfer RNA (70 nucleotides) under Dipodomys ordii (Ord's kangaroo rat). It matches the Rfam family "tRNA". From Rfam's summary of the family: Transfer RNA (tRNA) molecules are approximately 80 nucleotides in length. Their secondary structure includes four short double-helical elements and three loops (D, anti-codon, and T loops). The record is from Rfam by way of RNAcentral. Lineage: Eukaryota; Metazoa; Chordata; Mammalia; Rodentia; Heteromyidae.
GGGAAAGUGGCUCAGUGGUAGAGUGCUUGCCUUGUAUGCAUAAGGUCCUGGGUUCGAUUCCUCAGCACCA